AACGAACGCUGGCGGCAUGCCUAACACAUGCAAGUCGAACGAGACCUUCGGGUCUAGUGGCGCACGGGUGCGUAACGCGUGGGAAUCUGCCCUUGGGUUCGGAAUAACAGUUGGAAACGACUGCUAAUACCGGAUGAUGACGUAAGUCCAAAGAUUUAUCGCCCAAGGAUGAGCCCGCGUAGGAUUAGCUAGUUGGUGAGGUAAAGGCUCACCAAGGCGACGAUCCUUAGCUGGUCUGAGAGGAUGAUCAGCCACACUGGGACUGAGACACGGCCCAGACUCCUACGGGAGGCAGCAGUGGAGAAUAUUGGAGACUGGGAGAAAGCGUGAUCCAGCAAUGCCGCGUGAGUGAUGAAGGCCUUAGGGUUGUAAAGCUCUUUUACCCGGGAUGAUAAUGACGGUACCGGGAGAAUAAGCUCCGGCUAACUCCGUG
This 433-nucleotide ribosomal RNA is filed under the name uncultured bacterium. RNAcentral's name for it is "partial 16S ribosomal RNA". It matches the Rfam family "Bacterial small subunit ribosomal RNA", at positions 29 to 507 of the family's 1533-position model. The record is from RNAcentral.